CGUUUUACUCGACUUUGCUGUUUGCUGUCGUUUGUGCAGUUUCAGGAGUCAGUACAGCUACAAAGCUUUUUGGCUACGUUCACACUGCAGGCAAAAGCUCAUCAAAUCCGACUUUUUUGACCCUAUGCGACCCAUAUCCGAUCAUGAAAGCAACUGCUGUUUGAACGGUCAUGUCGCUGACACAAGACAGACGCCAAUUAUCAGCGCCGGAGAAGACAUCGCGAACGCUUCCUGGCCAUCCAGUGUAGAUGUCAGUGAAACUGUUGGGAAGACAACGUUGGAGAAACGUGAACAUUUUAUUUGUACUGUAUAAUCUGCAGAUUCUGACAGAAAUCUGCAACUAUCCUUUGAAGCACCGCUUCUCUAAAACAGCAACAAGGAUCAUUAUUAGGACAUAUGUAAAUAACAAAAUAACUUUAUAAAAAGCAAAAUUGGGAAACAAAGUCCGAGGCAAGUCUUUAUACUAAGGGCCAUCAAUCAAACAGCACUGUUUGGUCUGGGUCUAAACAGAGCACGUUGUGUGUGAAUUGAAGAAAGGCAUACACAAAGCUCUUCCUCCACAGCUCUUAAUCUCUCCCUGAUUUUUAGUUUUUGUGGCAGCCAUGUUCGAAAAGCUUUGCUCACAUAUGUUGUGGAAAAUGGGAGCAAUGUCAAAAUGUCUCUGUUUGCCAGAAUGGGGAACUCCUUGGCAGCAGUCAACCAAAAACUGUCCAAAGAUAGAUCAGCAAAGCUCAGCUUUAAACCACGGUCUUGUCUCAGUUCAGUUAGUUCCUCCUGUUCCUGAAAAGUCAUAUCCUUUCCGAAAACUGCUGCUGAGCUAUAUGGGUCCCUUACCCAGUCAAGGCAUUCAGUGGAGACUGAGGGGAAAUAAAUGGACAACUUCUCCUCAAGCGUUUUCAAAUGUUUACCUAUUAUUUCACACAGUGUGGCAGUUUUGAUAUCUCCUUGCCAUUUCUGAGUGAGUGGGGACAUGCCAAGGUUGGCAUUUUCCAGAUGUUGUUGCCAGAGAUGCACCUUUGAACGUAAUCC
Long non-coding RNA from Oreochromis aureus, 1029 nucleotides. NCBI's taxonomy places the organism in Eukaryota, Metazoa, Chordata, Actinopteri, Cichliformes, Cichlidae. The record is from Ensembl.